UGUCUUUUGAGUACCUUCGUUUCCUCGGCGGGUCCGCCCGCCGAUUGGACAACAUUCAAACCCUUUGCAGUUGCAAUCAGCGUCUGAAAAAACAUAAUAGUUACAACUUUCAACAACGGAUCUCUUGGUUCUGGCAUCGAUGAAGAACGCAGCGAAAUGCGAUAAGUAGUGUGAAUUGCAGAAUUCAGUGAAUCAUCGAAUCUUUGAACGCACAUUGCGCCCCUUGGUAUUCCAUGGGGCAUGCCUGUUCGAGCGUCAUUUGUACCUUCAAGCUCUGCUUGGUGUUGGGUGUUUGUCUCGCCUCUGCGUGUAGACUCGCCUUAAAACAAUUGGCAGCCGGCGUAUUGAUUUCGGAGCGCAGUACAUCUCGCGCUUUGCACUCAUAACGACGACGUCCAAAAGUACAUUUUUACACUCUUGACCUCGGAUCAGGUAGGGAUACCCGCUGAACUUAAGCAUAUC
RNAcentral lists this ribosomal RNA (462 nucleotides) under Epicoccum nigrum. RNAcentral describes it as "eukaryotic LSU rRNA". The stretch from base 105 to 258 matches the Rfam family "5.8S ribosomal RNA". Lineage: Eukaryota; Fungi; Ascomycota; Dothideomycetes; Pleosporales; Didymellaceae. The record is from RNAcentral.